Vicia villosa (hairy vetch) is the source of this 224-nucleotide long non-coding RNA. RefSeq lists it as uncharacterized. Lineage: Eukaryota; Viridiplantae; Streptophyta; Magnoliopsida; Fabales; Fabaceae. The record is from RefSeq and is a predicted model, not a curated record. The transcript has 3 exons.
GAGCUCAUUACCAUUAGUGAUGAGACUGCUCCUAUAAAACCCGCAAUUAAGGGUAAAGGGAUUUUACAGGAGGAAGAGUCUGUUGCAUCACUAAAAGAGGCAUCCGCUCGGGAGUCACAACAAGUGACGCAGCAAGUUCGUAGCGUACCACCCACUGGUCCUCCGAAGAUAGCGGCAAAAAAAGGCGGUGCUUUUGUGCCUCGAUACCGGACGACGCUCGCAAC